RNAcentral lists this ribosomal RNA (240 nucleotides) under uncultured bacterium. RNAcentral's name for it is "partial 16S ribosomal RNA". It matches the Rfam family "Bacterial small subunit ribosomal RNA", at positions 524 to 763 of the family's 1533-position model. The record is from RNAcentral.
UACGUAGGGGGCAAGCGUUAUCCGGAAUUACUGGGUGUAAAGGGAGCGUAGACGGUGAAGUAAGUCUGGAGUGAAAGGCGGGGGCCCAACCCCCGGACUGCUCUGGAAACUAUUUGACUGGAGUGCAGGAGAGGUAAGCGGAAUUCCUGGUGUAGCGGUGAAAUGCGUAGAUAUCAGGAGGAACAUCGGUGGCGAAGGCGGCUUACUGGACUGUAACUGACGUUGAGGCUCGAAAGCGUG